This is a long non-coding RNA of Salvelinus fontinalis (brook trout), 6185 nucleotides long. RefSeq lists it as uncharacterized. The transcript has 2 exons. NCBI's taxonomy places the organism in Eukaryota, Metazoa, Chordata, Actinopteri, Salmoniformes, Salmonidae. The record is from RefSeq and is a predicted model, not a curated record.
AUGAUCCUGUUAAGAGUUAGAACACGAGAAAAGAGAAGAAGACUUUAUGAUCCAUUCUCUCUUACAGUCUAAGGAACGUGCCUUGUUUCUUUUAACCCAACACAAGCCAUUAACACUCAUGCCGAAAUUCUACUCAACAACACUUCAACCAACGAUCACUACUGGCUGUAAGCGACCGAGUGAUGCGCGUUUGGAGCAAUACUGUCUGUAUCCAAGGCUCAGCCUAUCGUUCACAUAACAAACAGAAUGCAGCGCAGCAGGCGACUGAAGAGAGACGUGCUUGUUACAGCAUCAGCGGAGAGUGGAAAGGCAGCUUGCCAUUUGCAGCAGCGCGUCCCCUGAAUGAUAAUGAAGAGGUAACGUUAGAGAAGCCUGACCACGGAGAUGGGGGUGAGAAGAUGAUAAAGCAUACUUCAUGCGUACUUCAUGAGCUGUAACCGAAAAACAACUGGCAUUUGGAAAGUUUGAGCGCCAGCCUCCCACCCUUCCCUGCUCCAAUGUGCUGACUGCGGCAUGUUUAUCUCUGCCCCGCGCCACUAUCUUCAUCAAUUCUACUGGCCCCAAGACGACUGUGUACACCGCCAUCCCCAUGCAUCAGGCACAAACCCAAACCUGCCUCUGAGUCGGAGAGGAGGGCUCCGCAAAUUUGUCAAAAGAGAGAGAGAGAGAGAGAGAGAGAGAGAGAGAGAGAGAGAGAGAGAGAGAAAUGCACCUCAGAUGACAAUAACGUCUGGCCAAUAUUUCAUUGAAAUGAAGUGCUGUGGCACAGUUUACAGCAGCCAGGGAGAAAAGAAGAGCGGGAGGAACAAACGAAUGGAUGCAAAGCUCUUAUCACACAGAGUUUUUCUUCUUUCAGCCGUAGCAGAGAAAGAAAGGGGGUCAGGGGAAUGGCUGGUUCCCAGGGGUCUGUGUCAGUUCAGGACAGAGGAGUAUUUGGGGGGAAAUGGCAGAGGAAAGGAAGCAAUGGAAACUGUUUUUUCUUUUCUUUCCAUCAUCAGUUGCAGAGGUUUGAUCAUUUUUUAACUGCCCUCAACACAUCAUUCUCUUUCGAUCCUAUCAACCCGUACGUCUCACUUACUGUACAGGGCAACAAGGUUCAUCAUGACAACUGAUUUAUAAAGUAGUAUAUCCUACGCCAAUUCUUACCGGAGAGCAUGGGGACAGCGGCCUCGGACACUCCACCUCUGUCUUCACCUUUGACCUCUUGGUGAUCAUGGGAUUGACUGUACUGCUCACUGCCGAGUCCCCACAUGUGUUCUGGAGUGGAGGAGCGGAGAGAAUAGGAGAGGAGGGGAGAGAAUCAAAGAGAAGAAAAGAUAGGGGUUAAUACAGGGCUCGAGUCAAAUAGACAUUCAUACAUCAGAGGUGAGCCACCACAGAGACUAAACAAUUUCGAGUGUUUUGUGAUGAGAGGGUGCAGCACGAAAACAUCCCAUCCAUCUACAGAGCGAGCCCACUGCCUGGGGCUUCAGUGUAAACCUCAGGUGACUCCUGGAGAAACUUUGGAGACGAGAGUAGGCACACCCCACCACCUACACAGUUAAUGCUUCACAAUAAGCUGACACAGGCCGUAUCUGCCAGUUGGCUUUACGAGUCAUGCUAGACUGUGAUUCUGGAAACCACAGCAAAGUGUUCCUAAUCAGAGGAAGACUUUGUUUCUCCUCAGUAUCCCUCUGUGUUUACUGUGGUCUGUAACAGAACAGUGGGGUUGGAGUUUACCUUACGAAGGGGCGUUUCAGUGAAUGGUAUGAUGAGAACCACAAACCACAGUGGACGUAUACAAUGGAUGAGAAAGGAGACAGCAGUACUUAUGUUUUAAAUCAUCUUAAAACAAGUUUACUGACUAUGCAAACAAACAGAAGAAAAUUGUACGGCUAUAGACGUCAUGCUGGUUUGAUUUGAGCAUCCCACACAAUACCAGAACUUCCAGAAGGCCACAGGGCAAGGCUCACAUUUGGCGGUUAUGGACAAUGAGAAGAUCUACCUCGUACCAGACAAUUUAGGCACAGUUCAGGAAGAAGAUGAACAAACUCAAGCAAAAAGUCUUCGCACAUCAAAGCUGGUUUGCAUACCGCCGUUAGCAAAGAAGAAGAGCAGUCUCACCUUUGACUGUGAGCCAUUGUGGUGGUUGUGUGAGGAGGGGGGCAGAGAGGAGAGACCCAGGGCAGACUGGCGACUGGAGAAGAUGGGUGGGGGCUGGAUGAGAGGAGGGGUGUGGCCAAACACACUCAGGCCUCUCUGCUGGGACAGGAGCUGCUGGUAGGCCAUGGGGUUGAUGUGGUGGGGGAAGGUAAAGGACGGACUGGAACACAAGACAUUAACGCACAUGAGAGAUAUGUCUCUUAUCUCCAACUGUGACACAAAAUUCCACUUUCAACCCAGGUAGCCUAGAGGUUUAAGUGUGUUGGGCCAGUAACUGAAAGGUCACUGGUUCAAAUCCCUGAGCUGACCAGGUGAAAAAUAUAUCGAUGUGCCCUUGAGUAAGGCACAUAAGCCUAAUUGCUCCUCUGAGUCAAGAGUCUGCUAAAUGACUCAAAUGUAAGUCACAACUUUUCAGCUGAACUCAAUGUUAGUCAUGUAUAAGGCUGUGGGGGUCAUGAAGUUCUGUCAGCCAGGGAUUUUCAAGCAAAUAACUGGCGGUCUCACGGUAACUUAACAUGAAUUAUCUUAAACACAUUUAGCAUCUCCUGGCUUCCACGCAGCCUACAAGCCACUGAUGCAGACCUUUGGAACAUAUACAUUCUAAAAAGUUCGUUAAAUCCAUGAAAUGUAGCUUACACUAUCAUAAUAAAUCCAUUAUUUAUUUUAGACAGGUCUAAAGAAACUUGAUAUGAAGAAAAAGUAGAAUAGAAUUGUAUAAUCUGAGUUGUCUUUAUGUUUGGCCCUGAUCUGGCUAGGCCAUAUGGCUGUGGGCUACACUAGUUCAUUUAGCAGACAAGAUUUGCUUGGCAUUAUUUUAUAUUAUUUUAUAGUAUGAAGAAUACAAUUGAACAAAGCUGAAUAAAACAGAAAGGAUAUUUUCUCCAAAUGAUUUGAGGGAGUGCGCACAUGUGUCUAUUCUGGGUUGAGUGGUUAACAAAGAAACAUGUACUCCUAUAUGCUUAAUUUUGAGUUUUUAAUGUAACUUUAGUUGUGAUACAAAUGUGUUUGUUUCGAUUUUUAAUACAUUCUAAGGCUACAUGAUGCAACUCUUUUAUUUAUUUAUUUAACCUUUAUUUAACCAGGUAGGCUAGUUGAGAACAAGUUCUCAUUUGCAACUGCGACCUGGCCAAGAUAAAGCAAAGCAGUUCGACACAUACAACAACACAGAGUUACACAUGGAAUAAACAAACAUACACUCAAUUAUACAAUAGAAAAAUCUAUAUACAGCAUGUGCAAAUGAGGUAGGAUAAGAGCGGUAAGGCAAUAAAUGGUGGCAAAGUAAUUACAAUAUAGCAAUUAAACAACUCUAUUGAUGAUUUGAAAAAAGUUGCAUGAAAGGCAUGAGCUCUGCUUUGUUUUGUUUUUUACACAGGAUAUACACACUUCAUCAGUCUCUCAUUCACAAUUGGACAAGAACUUGAUAAUGCCUUAAAUUUCCCAGCUGCAUACCCAUUGUGUGGCCGUAAUGCCAUCUAACAAAUCCAUUCCUUUUGCGCCCAAAUUGGCCGUUGUGCCGUUGGGCUGAAUAUAAUAAUUCUAAUUCCCUUCUUCCGGCUGCGUGCUGAAGCACCUCUCACUCACAUGGCUCUCUGUCAAGUGAUCAGGUCUUUCUCACAGGCUACAAGUGAAGACAGACACAUCGGGGACACAACUGCGCACGUCCUUAUCCAUUUCCGAGGCGCAUAUUGAAGAUAUUGGAAGAACUGUCCACAUUUACUUUUCGUCAGCCUAACGAGUAAUAAGUAGGCAGCAAAAGCACUAGCCUAUGGCAAUCUACUAUCCCCCAUAGUACAAAAGUUGAUAUAUUCUAUUCUGUGCAAGAAAUAAAUAUUCCAUAGUCUUGGACACUAGCAUAAAAAAAACUGAAAACGUUUAGCUUAAAAAAGGCAAUUUCUUCGCAUUAUAAGUGCAGCAAUGUGCACACUGCAGUAGGCUAUAAGCAUGAAUGUUCCAUUAGCAGGAAAACACUAUUCUCAAAAGUGACCACAAAUGCGAUUAUGCAUGUAAUGCUUUUAUCAGAAAAGUGCAUUUUUAUGGUGUAAAUGAUCUUCCCCAAACUUGAAACUAUGCCAGUUAGGCUCCACGCCCCUUGUAAAGCGGUUUCAUGUGCUUCAUUUUAUGAAGUUAUUUGGCCACUUUAGUUGUGAUACAAACUUGAUAAAAAUAUAUAGGCCUAUGGGCUAGGCCUUAUAGGUCUCCCGGUCGCGAAACACAGCCAGAGAUCGAACCCAGGUCUGUAGUGACGCCUCUAGCAAUGCAGUGCCUUAGACCACUGUGCCACUCCGGAGGCAUGUAUUACUUUAUUUGACUUAAAUGGAGUUUUAUAUUCAUGUGACCAGUAUAUCAGUUAACCCUAUCCAAGCAUCUUAAAUCAAUAGUUUUUUACAAUAAUUUAUUACUAAAUAUUGACUAGUUACUGGCUAGGUUACCUGAUGCCUCCAACAGAGAGGUGUCCAUAGGAGCUGCUAGCUGCAGAGCUGGAGCGUGAGUUGUUGAUGUAGGCCACCAGAGAGUUGGGCGAGGUACGGAUCAUGGUCUGCAGGUCGAUGCUGGCGUCUGAGAGAGGCGAGAUGGACAGGGCUCGCUUUCUGUUCAGCCUGGGGGUCAGUCUGGGACUGGGGAACCGUGACACUGUGGGAAAGAAAAACACACAGACACAUACAGACUGUUAGUCUGACAACCUCUGAACUUCUCUCAGCUUCUCCUCCUGGCAUAGUUGCAUCUGAUUCAAGUAUUUUUUAAUUUUUUUAACAUUUCGCCUUUAUUUAACCAGGUAGGCUAGUUGAGAACAAGUUCAGAGAACAAGUAUGCAGAGACUUAUUGUCGUAGUUUGCAUAUACUGUAUACAUACAGCACAUGUGUGACGCACACAUGAUCACAUUUGUGUUUAUGUAUUGUUUCUUUGUAUUGGGGAAGAAUGCUUUUACUGAAUUGUCAGUCCUCCAAGGUUUCCCCAUUGCGAUGCAUUGAUACUACUGUUGGCCACCAGUAGGGGGCAGUGAGACGUGUUUACUUCGCAAUGGUUUAUAUGCGAUCCUGCACCUGUGUCUUCUCAUAAUUGAGAGAACCUAUGAAAGAGAAGCUACGUUCUCCUGUUUCAUCAUUUAUCCUGUGUUACAGGUCAGUAAAGUCCCAAAAAACACUGGAUUCCACAAUAUAGUUUUGUAACUUGCUUGUUGAAGUGAAUGUAAUGGUUUUGAACAACAUAGUAAUUGUAUAACUGUGUACUAGAUAGAAAACUCAUGUCAAGUGUAAAGUGAAAUGAUGGCGGUGAAUUCCUUUGAUCUAGAAAAAACGAAUUGUUAACUCCUGAACAUUUGUUGUUGUUGAAAAAAACACUCAUGACAAUAUCCUAAGGAUUUAGAGAAUUUAAUGUUGUAACUGUGACGUUUAAUAACUUUGUUGUAUUGUAAAUGUUAGAAAAGCCGCUAGUUUAGAGCUAGCUCCGGUUAGCUGUUUGCUAGCUCCGGUCAGUUGGUUGCUAGCUUCGGUUAGCGCAAUGCUAGCUUGUUCAGUAAUUUUUCAGAAAUUAGCAUUAAUGUCAGUUGCAAUAGUCUUGUCUUUCUAUUAGUCCUUCUUACACUGAGUGAAUGUGUUUUGAGCAUGGGUAUAAAGUAACUUCUAAUGAGUUACACCUGUCUUUGUGAUUGUCUCCACCCCCCUCCAGGUGUCGCCAUUAUCCCCUGUGUAUUUAUACCUGUGCUCUCUGUUUGUCCGUUGCCAGUUCGUCUUGUUUAUCAAGUCAACCAGCGUUUUUGUACUCAGCUCCUGCUUUUCCCAGUCUCUCGUUUUCUCGCCCUCCUGGUUUUAACCCUUGCCUGUCCUGACUCUGAGCCCACCUGCCUGACCACUCUGCCUGACCCUGAGCCUGCCUGCCGACCUGUACCUUUGCCCCACUUCUGGAUUGUUGACCUCUGCUUACCCUAAGCCUGCCUGCCUGCCGCCCGGUACCGUUGCCCCACCUCUGGUUUACUGACCACCGCCUGCCUUGACCUGUCUAUUGCCUGCCCCUGUUGGAAUAUUAAACCAUUGUCAAUUCUACA